UGCGUAGGCGGAAUAUUAAGUCAGUGGUGAAAUCCUGCGGCUCAACCGUAGAACUGCCAUUGAUACUGAUAUUCUUGAAUGUAGUUGAGGUAGGCGGAAUGUGUAAUGUAGCGGUGAAAUGCUUAGAUAUUACACAGAACACCGAUUGCGAAGGCAGCUUACUAAACUAUGAUUGACGCUGAGGCACGAGAGCGUGGGGAGCGAACAGGAUUAGAUACCCUGGUAGUCC
Molecule: ribosomal RNA, 229 nt
Filed under: uncultured bacterium
Lineage: Bacteria
Description: partial 16S ribosomal RNA
Rfam family: Bacterial small subunit ribosomal RNA
Source: RNAcentral